RNAcentral lists this ribosomal RNA (440 nucleotides) under uncultured bacterium. Its description in RNAcentral is "partial 16S ribosomal RNA". It matches the Rfam family "Bacterial small subunit ribosomal RNA", at positions 338 to 795 of the family's 1533-position model. The record is from RNAcentral.
CCUACGGGGGGCAGCAGUGGGGAAUAUUGCACAAUGGGGGAAACCCUGAUGCAGCGACGCCGCGUGAGUGAGGAAGUAUUUCGGUAUGUAAAGCUCUAUCAGCAGGGAAGAAAAUAACGGUACCUGCUUAAGAAGCCCCGGCUACCGACGUGCCAGCAGCCGCGGUAAUACGUAGGGGGCAAGCGUUAUCCGGAUUUACUGGGUGUAAAGGGAGCGUAGACGGAUGUGCAAGUCUGGUGUGAAAAGCCGGGGCCAAACCCCCGAAGUGCAUUGGAAACUGUAUGUCUAGAGUGUAGGAGAGGCAAGUGGAAUUCCUGGUGUAGCGGUGAAAUGCGUAGAUAUCAGGAGGAACACCAGUGGCGAAGGCGGCUUGCUGGACGAUAACUGACGUUGAGGCUCGAAAGCGUGGGGAGCAAACAGGAUUAGAUACCCGUGUAGUC